GACGAACGCUGGCGGCGUGCUUAACACAUGCAAGUCGAACGGAAAGGCCCUGCUUUUGUGGGGUGCUCGAGUGGCGAACGGGUGAGUAACACGUGAGUAACCUGCCCUUGACUUUGGGAUAACUUCAGGAAACUGGGGCUAAUACCGGAUAGGAGCUCCUGCUGCAGGGUGGGGGUUGGAAAGUUUCGGCGGUUGGGGAUGGACUCGCGGCUUAUCAGCUUGUUGGUGGGGUAGUGGCUUACCAAGGCUUUGACGGGUAGCCGGCCUGGGAGGGUGACCGGCCACCUUGGGACUGAGAUACGGACCAGACUCCUACGGGAGGCAGCAGUGGGGAAUAUUGCACAAUGGGCGGAAGCCUGAUGCAGCAACGCCGCGUGCGGGAUGACGGCCUUCGGGUUGUAAACCGCUUUCGCCUGUGACGAAGCGUGAGUGACGGUAAUGGGUAAAGAAGCACCGGCUAACUACGUG
This 468-nucleotide ribosomal RNA is filed under the name uncultured bacterium. RNAcentral's name for it is "partial 16S ribosomal RNA". It matches the Rfam family "Bacterial small subunit ribosomal RNA", at positions 28 to 507 of the family's 1533-position model. The record is from RNAcentral.